This 218-nucleotide long non-coding RNA is filed under the name Homo sapiens (human). Its description in RNAcentral is "HSALNT0106095". Lineage: Eukaryota; Metazoa; Chordata; Mammalia; Primates; Hominidae. The record is from RNAcentral.
UCUUGCCAUCAGCCCCUACUGCCAUUGUGUCACUGUCAUCUACUUGCCUCUCCAGAAGCCCUUUUUUGGCUACCUCAGGAGGGUGAUCUGUGUGGGCUGCACCAGUGGCCUCUCUGCACUCUGGCUGAAGACGUAAGAGUGGAGGAGAGUGAGUGAGGGAAGGGGGCUUGGUGCUCUCAUUCCUUCCCCACAGGGUUGAUUCGGGCGCCACCAAAGAU